CCGGCUGCAGCUGGGCGGGGCCGGGUGUGUGUGCGGGGGAGAGGCUAGGGGCGGAGAAAGGACGGAGAGGUAAUCGCAGGUAUGCGGAGCGUGAGUCUGAGCUGUGUGCGCGUUCCAGUUCAGCGAGCAUGUCGUACGCGCAGGUACAGUGUUGGACUUCAGGCUGCGAGAGGCUGUUAGAACCAGAGAUCAUCCCGCCAGGAAGAAGCCCACAGGGUUCUAGCCCGGAACCCUCUGAAGCGCAGAAAGUAGGAAGGUAGUGGACACCUCCACCACCCUUUCUCCCCAGCCUCGGGGUUGCUCUCUCCCUCUGGCCCAGCCGCCACCCAACAGACCGAGGGUGCCUGUCUGACUGUGCGCUGCCUGGGGCACGGGCAUCCCCUCUGAGCUAAUGUUGGGUGAAGGAAUGAAUGAUGGGGAUGGUGACAGCACCCAGGAGCUGACCGUCCCCAUCAGAGCAGCAGCCUCCCACUCCCAUUUCUUGGGAAGACCUGCACACCCAGCGGCCUCUGGGGGAUGCCAGAGGGUGGGGGAAAGUCAACUGGUCACAAGAACAGCCCCGGAGGGACACGAUGGUGGCAGAGGCCUGACUUCACCAAGAACCCUCCCCUCAGGGCCCCUGUGGACAGAGAAUGUUGCUCACCAUCAAGCCUUCUGCCACUGCAGCGCCACCCCCUUCCCCACAGUGGUGCGCCGUGAGGGGAUUCAGGAUGGAGAAGAACCAGAUACUGGCCCUGGAUAGCUGAAGUGCAUAUCCAAGGAACGAUUUCAGUGAGCCCAGACAGCAUCUAGCAUCUUCCCAUACACAGAAAAGCACUGCAAUCAUUAACUAGAGAUGUCAGCUUUUUGUGAUUAGCAGGAACCUUUUGAUGUUUGACUCUAUGGGGUUUUUUUCAGCAAAAACUCCGAGGAACAGUUCCUCAGAGCUAUAUGAGAGGCAAUGUCUUGGGCUACAGUCCUCAGUAAG
Long non-coding RNA from Lagenorhynchus albirostris (white-beaked dolphin), 967 nucleotides. RefSeq lists it as uncharacterized. The transcript is spliced from 3 exons. Lineage: Eukaryota; Metazoa; Chordata; Mammalia; Artiodactyla; Delphinidae. The record is from RefSeq and is a predicted model, not a curated record.